This 360-nucleotide RNase P RNA is filed under the name Puniceicoccales bacterium. Its description in RNAcentral is "RNase P RNA component class A". It matches the Rfam family "Bacterial RNase P class A". Rfam says of the family: Ribonuclease P (RNase P) is a ubiquitous endoribonuclease, found in archaea, bacteria and eukarya as well as chloroplasts and mitochondria. Its best characterised activity is the generation of mature 5'-ends of tRNAs by cleaving the 5'-leader elements of precursor-tRNAs. Cellular RNase Ps are ribonucleoproteins. Lineage: Bacteria; Pseudomonadati; Verrucomicrobiota; Opitutia; Puniceicoccales. The record is from RNAcentral.
UUUGCUGGGGGUGUGCUCGCUCGGAACGUUAGGUUUUUCGAGAGGAAAGUCCGGACAUCGAAGGGCGCGAUUCCAGAUGAAAGUCUGGGCUGGGAAAUCCUAAAGAUUCUCAGACGGAAAGUGCAACAGAAAAUAUACCGCCGAAAGGUAAGGGUGAAAUGGCGAGGUAAGAGCUCACCGUGGCUGGAGUGAUCCAGUUAGCAAUGAAAACCCAAUCAGAUGCAAGGCAGAAUAGGCGAGUGGGCUGCCCGUCCAAUGCUCGCGGGUUUGCCGCAUUCCGCAGGGAAAGUGAAAUUCACUAGAUAAAUGAGCACAGCGACGAAGGUCGAACAGAAUCCGGCUUAUAACCCAGCAAAACAU